This is a non-coding RNA of Microtus ochrogaster (prairie vole), 813 nucleotides long. The record is from the annotation of a RefSeq genome assembly. Lineage: Eukaryota; Metazoa; Chordata; Mammalia; Rodentia; Cricetidae.
ACUGCAGCCUGCCUGUCAUGUCAAGAAAGUUUGGAGAAGGCUCAGAUUUUUGUAGAAGCUGUGAGCACUGUGAUAGCUCGGGCUGGAGCAAGGUAUUUGCAGAAGGAACGAAGCUCAUAGUAAUCCCUCCUGACAAAAGGUUUGAUACAGACAUUUCCCCCAAGCCUACCAUUUUCCUUCCUUCCGUUGCUGAAACGAAUCUCCAUAAGGCUGGGACAUACCUUUGUCUCCUUGAGAAAUUCUUCCCUGAUGUUAUAAGGGUAUACUGGAAAGAAAAGGAUGGCGAUAAGAUCCUGGAAUCCCAGGAAGGGAAUACACUGAAAACCAAUGACACAUACAUGAAGUUUAGCUGGCUUACCGUGACUGCAGAGUCAAUGCAUAAAGAGCACAGAUGCAUUGUCAAACAUGAGAACAAUAAGAAGGGAGUUGAUCAAGAGAUUUCCUUUCCUCCAAUAGAGAAAGUUGCCGUGAGUGCUGAGCCUACACCUUGCUGGCAUGAAAAUGCCAUGCUGCAGCUUCAGCUCACAAGCACCUCUGCCUACUACACCUACCUUCUCCUCCUCCUCAAGAGUGCCAUCCACCUGGCCAUGGUCAGCUUCUCUCUGGCUAGAAGAACGGCUACCUGUGGCAAUGAGAAGAGGUCCUAAGGAAGUGAACGGUGGCACAACCAGUCAGCUCCUGUUCAUCCUCCCUGUGAAGUUGUGCCUUACGGGGCCCAGCUGGAUUCUCUUGCUAACUUUGACCUCUGUAAAAAUCACAUGCACUUCAUUCUGUAAUCACUCAAAAGUUUUCAGACUUUCAUAAGCAAUUCGA